GGAGGAGUACCGAAGUGGUCGUAACGGGGCCGUCUCGAAAACGGCUGUAGCGUAAGCUACCGUGAGUUCGAAUCUCACCUCCUCCG
Molecule: transfer RNA, 86 nt
Filed under: Candidatus Levybacteria bacterium CG10_big_fil_rev_8_21_14_0_10_35_13
Lineage: Bacteria; Candidatus Levyibacteriota
Description: tRNA-Ser
Rfam family: tRNA
About the family: Transfer RNA (tRNA) molecules are approximately 80 nucleotides in length. Their secondary structure includes four short double-helical elements and three loops (D, anti-codon, and T loops).
Source: RNAcentral